GGGAAGGCGACGGUGAAAUGCAACCGAAAUAAUGCGUGAGAGCUCACCACAGGUCAACCUAGACAGCAAGACUGAGGAAACACAUUAACAGGUGACUCCGAUGUCGUCCCGAGCCUGCCGCAGCUCCUGCUGCCUCCAGAAGCCGCUGAUGUUCUCGUAGGCGCGUCGGCCGCCCGGCGGCGCCCGCUCGCCGCCAGACUGCGCCUCGGCGAGCAGCUCAUAGAUGGCGUCCGAGUGACCUGACCCGGGCGCUGACCCGCACGCCCGACGACCUGCCGAUGCUGCCAUCUAUUGACGACCCAGUCGACUGGUGCCUGCUGCCAUCUACCGAAGACCCCGCGGACUGAUGCCUGCUUCCGUCCGCC
Long non-coding RNA from Amphibalanus amphitrite, 365 nucleotides. RefSeq lists it as uncharacterized. Lineage: Eukaryota; Metazoa; Arthropoda; Thecostraca; Balanomorpha; Balanidae. The transcript is spliced from 4 exons. The record is from RefSeq and is a predicted model, not a curated record.